UACCUUUUGCAUCAUGAUUUAGCAAGUACCCCUGAGCAAAGAGUACUUCAGUUCAGCGCCCCGAAACUAGACGAGCUACUUCAAGACAGCCUUUAUUAUAUAUACGUAGGGCACACCCGUCUCUGUUGCAAAAGAGUGGGAAGAUCUUCAAGUAGGGGUGACAAGCCUACCGAGCCUAGUUUUAGCUGGUUGUCUGAGAAGUGUAUAUAAGUUCAGCCUCCUGAUUUUACCAGUCGAAAGCACCUAUGCCCCCAAAGACCAAGUGAAUUUCAGGAGAGUUAGUCAAGCGGGGUACAGCCCGCCUGAAAAAGGAUACAACCUCUAUGGAAGAUUAAAGAUCAUACCAAAUAAGGAACUUUACUUUAGUGGGCUUAAAAGCAGCCACCUACAAAGAAAGCGUUACAGCUCCUGUUUAAUUUCACCCGCUAAUACCGAACCCCGCCUCUUUAGUCCCCCACACUAUCAGACCCUCCCACCCACCCUGGGAGAGAUAAUGCUAAAAUGAGUAAUAAGAGGGCGCGCCCCUCUCCAACACACAUGUUUAUGUCGGAACGGACCCACCACCGACAAUUAACGACCUCUACAGAGAGCAAUGUACCACCGCACAAAUAGCAAGAAAAUCGAACACCUCAUGCUCGUUAACCCAACACAGGUGUGUGACCCUGGAAAGACUAAAAUAAAGGGAAGGAACUCGGCAAACACAAGCCUCGCCUGUUUACCAAAAACAUCGCCUCUUGCAAUAUUACGAAUAAGAGGUCCCGCCUGCCCAGUGACGCUGUUUAACGGCCGCGGUAUUUUGACCGUGCAAAGGUAGCGCAAUAAAUUGUCUCUUAAUUGGAGACUAGUAUGAAUGGCACCACGAGGGCUUAACUGUCUCCCCUCUAAAGUCAAUGAAAUUGAUCUCCCCGUGCAGAAGCGGGGAUACGCUCGUAAGACGAGAAGACCCUUUGGAGCUUUAGACACAAGGGCAGCCCAGGUCAAACACCCCCAAAAGGAACUGAACCCCAUGAACCACUGCCAAUCUGUCUUCGGUUGGGGCGACCACGGAGAAAAACAAAACCUCCACAUGGAGUGGGGCCACUCGGCCCUAAAGAACAGACCCACAGGUCUAACCCGCAGAACAUCUGACCACAAAGAACCGGCACAAGCCGCUCAAUGGACCAAGUUACCCUAGGGAUAACAGCGCAAUCCCCUCAAAGAGACCUUAUCGACGAGAGGGUUUACGACCUCGAUGUUGGAUCAGGACAUCCUAAUGGUGCAGCCGCUAUUAAGGGUUCG
RNAcentral lists this ribosomal RNA (1278 nucleotides) under Hygophum proximum (lantern fish). RNAcentral describes it as "partial 16S rRNA". It matches the Rfam family "Bacterial large subunit ribosomal RNA", at positions 602 to 2575 of the family's 2925-position model. Lineage: Eukaryota; Metazoa; Chordata; Actinopteri; Myctophiformes; Myctophidae. The record is from RNAcentral.